GGAUGAUGCUCCUGCUGGAGCUGUAGGUGUCUCCAGUGAUUUUGAUGUUCAGAAGAUGCCCAUCGAGGAAGCCACUGAAUUUUCGAAAGCGAAUGAGAGUGAGGCAGAAAUUGAAAACCCACGCAGAGGACAAAAAGUGUGCUGGUCGAAUGCGGAAAUUAGCGCUGUAAUGAAACAUUUUAAGGCACAUAUAAGCAAAGGGAAACUGGCCACACUGACUGAAUGCCAGCAGUGUAAGACAGCUGAAGAUCCUGUUUUGGCAAGGCGCAGUGCUCAAAACAUCAGAGAUUUUGUCAGAAAUCGUGGAAUUAGUUUAAAAAGGACAGCCCAAAUCAAGUAAAGUUACAUGUCUUAUUUGAUGUUGCGCUAUUUUGAUUAUUACUAUGCUUGUUUUUUUUCAUACUAUAGUAAGAAACUUAUGGCAACAGUAGUUUGUGAGCAAAAGGCAAUUCUGUUAGCAUUUCC
This is a long non-coding RNA of Xyrauchen texanus (razorback sucker), 465 nucleotides long. RefSeq lists it as uncharacterized. The transcript has 3 exons. The record is from RefSeq and is a predicted model, not a curated record. Lineage: Eukaryota; Metazoa; Chordata; Actinopteri; Cypriniformes; Catostomidae.